CAUUAAGGUACAUGCCAAAAAUGAAUACUAAGCCUUAGGAAGAGUUUAAAGGCAUUUUGGAACCUAAAACUUGGAGUUUACGGCCCAAGGAGUUUCUUGGCCGUAAACUCCCUUAUAGAAAUGAUUUCUAAGGGUUUUGAUGGCAUAAAUCAUGAGUGUAAAGCUUCUAGGUGUUUGUUCUAAGGCUAGGGAUCACAAGGCACUCAUUUGUGCCCUUUACUUGGAGUUUACGGCCCAAGAGGUGGUUCCUUGGCCGUAAACUCCUCAAACUAAGUGAUUUUGAUUUGUUUCUAGCCUCCAAUGAUCAUACACUAGGUCCUUAGUUAGUUGCCUAACACGGAAAUGGGACUAUGUGGCCUUUAGGCUUGAUUUUGGAGUUUACUCCCCAAGAACGUUCUUGGGCGGUAAACUCCCGGAUCUUGUGUUUUGGACAUGUAAUCAAUGUUAUAAAGCAUAUAACAAGUAUUAAAACACAUUUAGGGAAGUAGACUCACAAUCUGGGAUGAAAACCCGAAGAUCCGUGAGAGAGUAUUUGGCUUUUCUCUAAAUGGAAAUCAAAUAAUGAACCAAUUUGGUUCAGAAUUCUAUUUAUAGUCCAGAGAUUUUUGGCAGAAAAUAUUUCUAUUCUCGGAAUGGAUUCUAAUGACCUAGAGUAAUGGAAUUACAGUGUUGCACAAAAUCCUAGUGCACCCACUCUCCUAAUAACUCCUUAGGUGUAAAACCCUAAAACUGCCAAACUUAUUCCAAAAGUUUGAAUUUUCACUGAAACUGCUCUACUUCCAUUGGAUUGAUGUGGUUUGAUUUGAAUGGAAAAUUUCGGGUUGUCACAGUUAAGGGGUAUGAACUCACCUGCAGUAUGUGACUGGAAUUGAACGGGCUGUUAUCGUACGGAAGGAUCAGACAAGUGCUUGGUGUCAAGUGAAGACUUAGACACACACAAUGAUCCUAAUUACAUAUGAAACAUAUGUAUAUAAAUAAUUAGUGAUUAUAACACUAAUUAUACAAGUAAUAACAUUUAAGCGCGAGGACAACACUUUUGGUCAAGUGCUAGGAGGCUAAUGGGUUGCAACAAAGAAGUGCAAUGCCCCUAAUGAAAGUUUAAGGUCAAAAGACCAUAUUCAUUAGAGUUUACGGCCCAGGGGAGUAAGCUCCUGGCCGUAAACUCUCAAACAAGUCAUGAAAUGGAGUUUAAAAGUACUACAACCUUAGAGGGGAAUUGUUUCAAGGCUAUACAAGUGUUUGGGCACCACACUGACUCCUUUGGGGAGUUUACGGCCCAAAGACCCUUCUCCCUUGGAGUUUACGGCCGUAAACUCCCUUGGGAGGGUUCUUAUUGGCCUUUCAAGUCUCUAACAUUUCUAGGAACAAGUCUAGGCUUCAAUACUUGGAUCAAGGGAGGUUUAUGGCAUUAAAUGGAACCAUUUGAUGGAGUUUACGGCCAUAGAACUCUUUGGGCCGUAAACUCCCUCACACAUGAGGUUCUAAGAAUUUUAACUAGCCCAAAACUCAUCUAGGUACUUGCCCUAAAAGUCUCUUGGCCUAAGGAAGUGUCUAGGGUGUCCUUUGACCCCUUUAAAGGAGUUUACGGCCCAAGAAAUACUCUUGGCCGUAAACUCUCAAACACUUAUGCUUUUUAUGUGUUUUCUAGGUCCUAAACACAUUAAGGUACAUGCCAAAAAUGAAUACUAAGCCUUAGGAAGAGUUUAAAGGCAUUUUGGAACCUAAAACUUGGAGUUUACGGCCCAAGGAGUUUCUUGGCCGUAAACUCCCUUAUAGAAAUGAUUUCUAAGGGUUUUGAUGGCAUAAAUCAUGAGUGUAAAGCUUCUAGGUGUUUGUUCUAAGGCUAGGGAUCACAAGGCACUCAUUUGUGCCAUUUACUUGGAGUUUACGGCCCAAGAGGUGGUUCCUUGGCCGUAAACUCCUCAAACUAAGUGAUUUUGAUUUGUUUCUAGCCUCCAAUGAUCAUUCACUAGGUCCUUAGUUAGUUGCCUAACACGGAAAUGGGACUAUGUGGCCUUUAGGCUUGAUUUUGGAGUUUACUCCCCAAGAACGUUCUUGGGCGGUAAACUCCCGGAUCUAGUGUUUUGGACAUGUAAACAAUGUUAUAAAGCAUAUAACAAGUAUUAAAACACAUUUAGGGAAGUAGACUCACAAUCUGGGAUGAAAACCCGAAGAUCCGUGAGAGAGUAUUUGGCUUUUCUCUAAAUGGAAAUCAAAUAAUGAACCAAUUUGGUUCAGAAUUCUAUUUAUAGUCCAGAGAUUUUUGGCAGAAAAAUAUUUCUAUUCUCGGAGUGGAUUCUAAUGACCUAGAGUAAUGGAAUUACAGUGUUGCACAAAAUCCUAAUGCACCCAUUCUCCUAAUAACUCCUUAGGUGUAAAACCCUAAAACUGCCAAACUUACUCCAAAAGUUUGAAUUCUCACUGAAACUGCUCUACUUCUAUUGGAUUGAUGUGGUUUGAUUUGAAUGGAAAAUUUCGGGUUGUCACAUUUCAUUAGUUUAUUAUUGUGGUUUUAUUUCCAUGUUUGAACCACUUCCACAAUAUUAAUAUAUUUGAACCUCCAUAGUUAGUCCUACUUCUGUAAGUAAGCAUUGAUUUAAGAUUUUCAUGGAGCAUUAGUAGAUUUUUG
This 2629-nucleotide long non-coding RNA is filed under the name Lactuca sativa (garden lettuce). RNAcentral's name for it is "long non-coding RNA (LSAT_LNC005042)". Lineage: Eukaryota; Viridiplantae; Streptophyta; Magnoliopsida; Asterales; Asteraceae. The record is from RNAcentral.